This 406-nucleotide ribosomal RNA is filed under the name uncultured bacterium. Its description in RNAcentral is "partial 16S ribosomal RNA". It matches the Rfam family "Bacterial small subunit ribosomal RNA", at positions 30 to 526 of the family's 1533-position model. The record is from RNAcentral.
AUUGAACGCUGGCGGCAGGCCUAACACAUGCAAGUCGAGCGAGCGGCGGACGGGUGAGUAAUGUAUGGGGAUCUGCCCGAUAGAGGGGGAUAACUACUGGAAACGGUAGCUAAUACCGCAUACUAUCGGAUGAACCCCUCUGGGAUUAGCUAGUUGGUGGGGUAAAGGCUCACCUAGGCGACGAUCUCUAGCUGGUCUGAGAGGAUGACCAGCCACACUGGGACUGAGACACGGCCCAGACUCCUACGGGAGGCAGCAGUGGGGAAUAUUGCACAAUGGGCGCAAGCCUGAUGCAGCCAUGCCGCAUGUAUGAAGAAGGCCUUAGGGUUGUAAAGUACUUUCAGCGGGGAGGCGUUAACCGCAGAAGAAGCACCGGCUAACUCCGUGCCAGCAGCCGCGGUAAUUC